RNAcentral lists this ribosomal RNA (466 nucleotides) under uncultured bacterium. Its description in RNAcentral is "partial 16S ribosomal RNA". It matches the Rfam family "Bacterial small subunit ribosomal RNA", at positions 28 to 507 of the family's 1533-position model. The record is from RNAcentral.
GAUGAACGCUGGCGGCGUGCUUAACACAUGCAAGUCGAACGGAAAGGCUCCUGCUUGCAGGGGUACUCGAGUGGCGAACGGGUGAGUAACACGUGGGUGAUCUGCCCUGCACUUCGGGAUAAGCCUGGGAAACUGGGUCUAAUACCGGAUAGGACGAUGGCUUGGGUGCCAUUGUGGAAAGUUUUUUCGGUGUGGGAUGAGCUCGGGGCCUAUCAGCUUGUUGGUGGGGGAGUGGCCUACCAAGUCGGCGACGGGUAGCCGGCCUGGGAGGGUGUACGGCCACAUUGGGCCUGCGAGACGGCCCAGACGCCUACGGGAGGCAGCAGUGGGGAAUAUUGCACAAUGGGCGCAAGCCUGAUGCAGCGACGCCGCGGGGGGGAUGACGGCCUUCGGGUUGUAAACUCCUUUCGCUAGGGACGAAGCGCAAGUGACGGUACCUGGAGAAGAAGCACCGGCUAACUACGUG